GAUGAACGCUGGCGGCGUGCCUAAUACAUGCCAGUCGAGCGAACAGAUGAGGAGCUUGCUCCUCUGACGUUAGCGGCGGACGGGUGAGUAACACGUGGAUAACCUCCCUAUAAGACUGGGAUAACUUCGGGAAACCGGAGCUAAUACCGGAUAAUAUAUUGAACCGCAUGGUUCAAUAGUGAAAGACGGUUUUGCUGUCACUUAUAGAUGGAUCCGCGCCGCAUUAGCUAGUUGGUAAGGUAACGGCUUACCAAGGCGACGAUGCGUAGCCGACCUGAGAGGGUGAUCGGCCACACUGGAACUGAGACACGGUCCAGACUCCUACGGGAGGCAGCAGUAGGGAAUCUUCCGCAAUGGGCGAAAGCCUGACGGAGCAACGCCGCGUGAGUGAUGAAGGUCUUCGGAUCGUAAAACUCUGUUAUUAGGGAAGAACAAAUGUGUAAGUAACUAUGCACGUCUUGACGGUACCUAAUCAGAAAGCCACGGCUAACUACGUG
Molecule: ribosomal RNA, 497 nt
Filed under: uncultured bacterium
Lineage: Bacteria
Description: partial 16S ribosomal RNA
Rfam family: Bacterial small subunit ribosomal RNA
Source: RNAcentral